UCCCCAUAUAAAAGCUGCUGCCAAGAGCAUGGCACUGCAGGUCCGCAACUCUUGAAGACGAAGAAACUCUUUCAACAUAUUAGUCUACACAAUACUUUAGAAAGUAUACCGAGUGAAACUGAUUACUUCGACAAGGCACAAUGAAAAUUAAACUGGUGUUGUUGUUGGUUCUGGUGGCGAUGAUGGGGGCGGCGUUGGCGGCGCCGCAGAUCAUCAUGACACAGAGAGAUUUCCCGGGGCAGAGGCGCCUGGGCAUCAGGAACUACCGGACACACACCUUCGGCAAGAGAGGCUACAGCUCCCUGCGUCUGGCGAGAGUGAAUGAGUGACUGAGAUGAAUAAUAUUCAUAUUCACUCAUUCACUAUCAAAUGAAUUAGAUGAAUGAGAGUCACCUAAUGAGUGAAUAAGAUGAAGAUGGAUGAAGCACUAAGACCCUCCUUGACUCGUGUUGCAAUACAUGAGUCUCCCAUGACAAUUCUGCUCAGUCUGACUCAUCUACAAAUUACUUCAUUAUCGGUCGAAACUUUGGGUGCGAGGGGGGGACACGAUGUGUUUGUGAAGAUGACUUGGGCAAUGCUUGGCUGACGAGACGCCGUCUGCAUUAAUAUGGAGGUCGCGGGCAGGUGGUCAACUGCGUAUUACAUACAUGCUUAGUACAUUUAUAUAUUUAUCUUGUUGUAGUUUGAUUGUUAUGUUAAAGUUUUAUUAAUAAAAUAUUUAAAUAUGACUAAUGCCUUGAGAUUUCUUUUGUUUAAAUUUAAUGUUUGUUUUUGUUACGUGCGCGCGCGCACACACACACACACACACACACACACACACACACACACACACACACACACACACACACACAAA
Molecule: long non-coding RNA, 853 nt
Organism: Procambarus clarkii (red swamp crayfish)
Lineage: Eukaryota; Metazoa; Arthropoda; Malacostraca; Decapoda; Cambaridae
Source: RefSeq, a predicted model, not a curated record